UGGAAUUGCAUCCGGAAAGACUGCGCACAGCCACGAGCGAGAACUGACUCUUGAACAAGAAUAUCGAUAUGGCUUUACGAAAAUUGAUUUUUCGCGUCUAUGCAUUGAACAGCACACGUCAUUCUGUAAAGGUUUUGAAUACUCAUAUGUCUGCCUUUAGUGUAUUGAGUCCUAACACCGAUUUGAGAGUAAAACAUGACCGACACAACCUCUGCUUUUCUAUCAACCUGGACGGCGAAGGACAUCAGGAUAGCGCGGUGCUGCGCUACAAAUUUACGAGCAAGAAGGAGGUAGAUCUACUGUCAACUUAUGUACCCGAGUCUUUCAGGGGCAAAGGUGUUGCAGCUCUUCUGUCAAAGGCUGCCAUGGAUUUUCUAGUGGAAGAAAACCUCAAGGCCCAUAUAUCUUGUUGUUAUAUUAAGAAAUAUGUUGAGGAAACCCCACUUCUUGGUUAUAAGGAUCUUAUUAUAGUCUGAAUAAGCUGCAUCCUUGAUGAAUAGUGGUUGGAAAGAAUGGUCAUUGUAAAAAUACAUAAUACUUUAAAAUAAUGUAUUCAGUAUUUACAGUACUAGUCAAAAGGGUUUUCUUUAUUUUUACUAUGUUCUACAUGGUAUAAUAAUAGUGAAGAUAAUCAAAACUAUGAAAUAACACAUAUGGAAUCAUGUAGUAACCAAAAAAAGUGGUAAAGAAAUCAAAAUAUAUUUUAGAUUUUAGAUUCUUCAAGGUAGCCUUGAUGACAGCUGACAGAAACAGACAGAUGACAGAAACGGAAGUCCAGCAUUACUUGAAGACAUAAAGGUCAGUCAAUCCGGAAAAUGACAAGAAAGUUGUACAGUCACAAAAACCCUCAAGUGCUAUGAUGAAACUGGCUCUCAUGAGGACCGCCAUAGGAAAGGAAGACCCAGUUACCUCUGCUGCAGAGGAUAAGUUCAUUAGUUACCAGCCUCAGAAAUUGCAGUCCAAAUAAGUAAAAGACAAAUCUCAAAAUCAACUGUUCAGAGGAGACUGCAUGAAUUAGGCCUUCAUGAUCAAAUUGCUGCAAAGAAACCACUACUAUAGGACACCAAUAAUAAGAAGAGACUUGCUUGGGGCUAGAAACACGAGCAAUGGACAAUAGACCGGUGGAAAUCUGUCCUUUGGUCUGAUGAGUCCAAAUGUGAGAUUUUUUGUUCCAACCGCCAUGUCUUUUUGCGAUGCAGAGUACGGAUGAUCUCUCUAUGUGUGGUUCCAACUGUGAAGCAUGGAGGAGGAGGUAUGAUGGUGUGGGAGUGCUUUGCUGGUGACACUGUCAGUAAUUUAUUUAGAAUUCAAGGCACACUUAGCCAGCAUGGCUACCACAGCAUUCUGCAGCGAUAUGCCAUCCCAUCUGGUUUGCGCUUAGUGGGUUUAUCAUUUGUUUUUAAACAGGACAAUGAUCCAACACACCUCCAGGCUGUGUAAGGGCUAUUUGACCAAGAAGGAGAGUGAUGGAGUGCUGCAUCAGAUGACCUGGCCUCCACCAUCACCCGAUCUCAACCCAAUUGAGAUGGUUUGGGAUGAGUUGGACUGCAGAGUGAAGGAAAAGCUGCCAACAAGUGCUGAGCAUAUGUGGGAACUCCUUCAAACUGUUGGAAAUGCAUUCCAGGUGAAGCUGGUUGAGAGAAUGCCAAGAGUGUGCAAAGCUGUCAUCAAGGCUACCUUGAAGAAUCUCAAAUAUAAAAUAUAUUUAGAUUUGUUUAACACUUUUUUGAUUACUACAUGAUUCCAUAUGUGUUAUUUCAUAGUUUUGAUCUCUUCACUAAUUUACAUUUACAUUUAAGUCAUUUAGCAGACGCUCUUAUCCAGAGCGAAUCUACAAUGUAAAAAAACACAAAUAAAGAAAAACCCUUGAAUGAGUAGGUGUGUCCAAACUUUUGACUGGUACUGUAUGAAUAUAUAUACAGUAUAUAUAUAUAUAA
Long non-coding RNA from Oncorhynchus keta (chum salmon), 1937 nucleotides. RefSeq lists it as uncharacterized. The transcript is spliced from 3 exons. The record is from RefSeq and is a predicted model, not a curated record. NCBI's taxonomy places the organism in Eukaryota, Metazoa, Chordata, Actinopteri, Salmoniformes, Salmonidae.